GCUGGGCGCGGUGGCACAUGCCUGUAGUCCCAGCUACUCGGGAGGCUGACGCUGGAGAAUCUCUUGAGUCCAGGAGUUCUGGACUGUAGUGCGCUAUGCCAAUCUGGUAUCUGCACUAAGUUUGGCAUCAAUAUGAUGACCUCCUGAGAGUGGGGGACCACCAGGCUGCCUAAGGAGGGGUGAACCAGCCCAGGUCGGAAACGGAGCAGGUCAAAACUCCCGUGCUGAUCAGUAGUGGUAUUGCACCUGUGAAUAGCCACUGCACUCCAGCCUGGGCAACAUAGUGAGACCCCGUCUCU
RNAcentral lists this signal recognition particle RNA (299 nucleotides) under Aotus nancymaae (Ma's night monkey). RNAcentral's name for it is "Metazoan signal recognition particle RNA (ENSANAG00000007409.1)". It matches the Rfam family "Metazoan signal recognition particle RNA". Rfam says of the family: The signal recognition particle (SRP) is a universally conserved ribonucleoprotein. It is involved in the co-translational targeting of proteins to membranes. Lineage: Eukaryota; Metazoa; Chordata; Mammalia; Primates; Aotidae. The record is from RNAcentral.